RNAcentral lists this ribosomal RNA (324 nucleotides) under Triticum aestivum (bread wheat). RNAcentral's name for it is "partial small subunit ribosomal RNA". Lineage: Eukaryota; Viridiplantae; Streptophyta; Magnoliopsida; Poales; Poaceae. The record is from RNAcentral.
AUGGUUGUGAAGCUAAAGGAUGGUCGAUGGGAAGUCAUUUUCUUCAUUGCUGAACACAAUCGUGCACUAAUUGACAAGCCAUCACUCACAAAGUACCUGCGAUCGCACCAAGGGAUCCCUCCAGAAGAGAAGCUAUUCCUAACAAAUCUUCAUAAUUGCAAUUUGACUACAGGUCGUAUGAUGCAAAUUAUGUCUGAAUUUUAUGGGACGGAACUAAUUGUUCCUUAUACAACUAAAGCAAUAUCAAAUCUUAAAUCGGGCUUGAACAAGGCAGCCACUAGUGAAGGAGAUAUGAUAGAGACAGUAGCCUACUUCAAGGAGUAA